RNAcentral lists this ribosomal RNA (253 nucleotides) under uncultured bacterium. RNAcentral describes it as "partial 16S ribosomal RNA". It matches the Rfam family "Bacterial small subunit ribosomal RNA", at positions 524 to 776 of the family's 1533-position model. The record is from RNAcentral.
UACGGGGGGGGCAAGCGUUGUUCGGAAUUACUGGGCGUAAAGGGCGCGUAGGCGGUUCGCUAAGUUGAAUGUGAAAACUCUGGGCUUAACCCAGAGCCUGCAUCCAAAACUGGCGAACUGGAGUACUGGAGGGGAAAGCGGAAUUCCUGGUGUAGCGGUGAAAUGCGUAGAUAUCAGGAGGAACACCGGUGGCGAAGGCGGGUCUCUGGGCCGAUACUGACGCUGAGGAGCGAAAGCGUGGGGAGCGAACAGG